CCUACGGGGGGCAGCAGUGAGGAAUAUUGGUCAAUGGCCGAGAGGCUGAACCAGCCAAGUCGCGUGAGGGAAGACGGCCCUACGGGUUGUAAACCUCUUUUGUCGGGGAGCAAAGCGAACCACGUGUGGUUCAUUGAGAGUACCCGAAGAAAAAGCAUCGGCUAACUCCGUGCCAGCAGCCGCGGUAAUACGGAGGAUGCGAGCGUUAUCCGGAUUUAUUGGGUUUAAGGGGGUCGCGGUGGGAGGUGCAAGUCAGCGGUCAAAUUUCGGGGCUCAACCCCGUACUGCCGUUGAAACUGCAUCCCUUGAGUGCGCGAGAAGUAUGCGGAAUGCGUGGUGUAGCGGUGAAAUGCAUAGAUAUCACGCAGAACUCCGAUUGCGAAGGCAGCAUACCGGCGCGCAACUGACGCUCAUGCACGAAAGCGUGGGUAUCGAACAGGAUUAGAUACCCUGGUAGUC
Molecule: ribosomal RNA, 459 nt
Filed under: uncultured bacterium
Lineage: Bacteria
Description: partial 16S ribosomal RNA
Rfam family: Bacterial small subunit ribosomal RNA
Source: RNAcentral